Non-coding RNA from Biomphalaria pfeifferi, 290 nucleotides. The record is from the annotation of a GenBank genome assembly. Lineage: Eukaryota; Metazoa; Mollusca; Gastropoda; Planorbidae.
GUAAAGGUUAAAUUUUUUAAUGGUAAUAAUAGAAUUUGUUUCAAGUCAUACAUUUAUUACUCAUGGGAAUAAACAAAACAAAAAAUAAAACAUAUUUCAUAGGUGUAACAUCAUCCUAGAUAUAUUUUAUGCAGCAUCUAAUGGCGAUGGGUAUAACACAGUUGCUAUCUAUUUUCUUUAACUUCACACAUUUUGAACUGACUUAUGUAACAUACUUGAAGAAUACCAAAUUUAUUACUCCACUGUUCAAUGUUGGCAUCUCAGUGGCAUAGCUGGGGGGGGGGGGGGGG